AAUCAUCAACCUCCCCGGUUUGCGCUGGGUUCUCGGUUGGAUCUGGGGGUCUCUUGCUGCCGAAAGGCGGCUCCCCUUGAAUGCAUCGGUUGGGGCCUUCGAGCUUAUGCGUCAAUUGGGCGUUGUAUUACCCUCGCUUCUACACUGACUGCGGCUCGCGCUUUGUGACCCUUCCUCGACUUGCCCUUGGAGUGGCGGUCAACCUUUGAAC
RNAcentral lists this unclassified non-coding RNA (211 nucleotides) under Brevicellicium olivascens. RNAcentral describes it as "partial internal transcribed spacer 2". Lineage: Eukaryota; Fungi; Basidiomycota; Agaricomycetes; Trechisporales; Hydnodontaceae. The record is from RNAcentral.